Molecule: signal recognition particle RNA, 281 nt
Filed under: Candidatus Aenigmatarchaeota archaeon
Lineage: Archaea; Nanobdellati; Candidatus Aenigmatarchaeota
Description: signal recognition particle sRNA
Rfam family: Archaeal signal recognition particle RNA
Source: RNAcentral
GUGGGGGCCUCCGGCGGGGGGCUGGGCCUCCCCUCUGGCAAAACGCCAGGGCAAACGGUCCAUAACGGCCGCCGUAGCUUAGGGAAGGUAGAUUAACUCACUACGAUCCAACCGUAGGCUAUGAAGUAAGCAUAUCCGUGGGGCAGAUAUUAUAGCGAACCUGGUGAGGUCCGAAAGGAAGCAGCCAUAAGCUAUAAUAUCUGCGUUCACGGAUAUGCUUACUAGCCGAAGGUUGGGUAAAUCGUAGUGGGUUAAUCUAUCGACCCUAAGCGCGCCCCCAC